GACGAACGCUGGCGGCGUGCCUAAUACAUGCAAGUCGAACGAACUCUGGUAUUGAUUGGUGCUUGCAUCAUGAUUUACAUUUGAGUGAGUGGCGAACUGGUGAGUAACACGUGGGAAACCUGCCCAGAAGCGGGGGAUAACACCUGGAAACAGAUGCUAAUACCGCAUAACAACUUGGACCGCAUGGUCCGAGCUUGAAAGAUGGCUUCGGCUAUCACUUUUGGAUGGUCCCGCGGCGUAUUAGCUAGAUGGUGGGGUAACGGCUCACCAUGGCAAUGAUACGUAGCCGACCUGAGAGGGUAAUCGGCCACAUUGGGACUGAGACACGGCCCAAACUCCUACGGGAGGCAGCAGUAGGGAAUCUUCCACAAUGGACGAAAGUCUGAUGGAGCAACGCCGCGUGAGUGAAGAAGGGUUUCGGCUCGUAAAACUCUGUUGUUAAAGAAGAACAUAUCUGAGAGUAACUGUUCAGGUAUUGACGGUAUUUAACCAGAAAGCCACGGCUAACUACGUGCCAGCAGCCGCGGUAAUACGUAGGUGGCAAGCGUUGUCCGGAUUUAUUGGGCGUAAAGCGAGCGCAGGCGGUUUUUUAAGUCUGAUGUGAAAGCCUUCGGCUCAACCGAAGAAGUGCAUCGGAAACUGGGAAACUUGAGUGCAGAAGAGGACAGUGGAACUCCAUGUGUAGCGGUGAAAUGCGUAGAUAUAUGGAAGAACACCAGUGGCGAAGGCGGCUGUCUGGUCUGUAACUGACGCUGAGGCUCGAAAGUAUGGGUAGCAAACAGGAUUAGAUACCCUGGUAGUCCAUACCGUAAACGAUGAAUGCUAAGUGUUGGAGGGUUUCCGCCCUUCAGUGCUGCAGCUAACGCAUUAAGCAUUCCGCCUGGGGAGUACGGCCGCAAGGCUGAAACUCAAAGGAAUUGACGGGGGCCCGCACAAGCGGUGGAGCAUGUGGUUUAAUUCGAAGCUACGCGAAGAACCUUACCAGGUCUUGACAUACUAUGCAAAUCUAAGAGAUUAGACGUUCCCUUCGGGGACAUGGAUACAGGUGGUGCAUGGUUGUCGUCAGCUCGUGUCGUGAGAUGUUGGGUUAAGUCCCGCAACGAGCGCAACCCUUAUUAUCAGUUGCCAGCAUUAAGUUGGGCACUCUGGUGAGACUGCCGGUGACAAACCGGAGGAAGGCGGGGAUGACGUCAAAUCAUCAUGCCCCUUAUGACCUGGGCUACACACGUGCUACAAUGGAUGGUACAACGAGUUGCAAACUCGCGAGAGUAAGCUAAUCUCUUAAAGCCAUUCUCAGUUCGGAUUGUAGGCUGCAACUCGCCUACAUGAAGUCGGAAUCGCUAGUAAUCGCGGAUCAGCAUGCCGCGGUGAAUACGUUCCCGGGCCUUGUACACACCGCCCGUCACACCAUGAGAGUUUGUAACACCCAAAGUCGGUGGGGUAACCUUUUAGGAACCAGCCGCCUAAGGUGGGACAGAUGAUUAGGGUG
Molecule: ribosomal RNA, 1489 nt
Filed under: Lactiplantibacillus argentoratensis
Lineage: Bacteria; Bacillati; Bacillota; Bacilli; Lactobacillales; Lactobacillaceae
Description: bacterial SSU rRNA
Rfam family: Bacterial small subunit ribosomal RNA
Source: RNAcentral